Molecule: RNA transcript, 2073 nt
Organism: Carica papaya (papaya)
Lineage: Eukaryota; Viridiplantae; Streptophyta; Magnoliopsida; Brassicales; Caricaceae
Gene name: CBL-interacting serine/threonine-protein kinase 12-like
Source: RefSeq, a predicted model, not a curated record
ACCAAAUUUCUCCGAUUCAAAACAACCUAACGACCAAAAUAUACAAAACAAAAACCUCAAAAUCUCCACCAUCAAUGGCAAAUCACUGAGUUUUCACCUCCCACAACAUUUCCCACGACCGUCACCAAUGGCCGACUUCAAUAAUUUCUUCAACACAAACAAGAACACCACUACCCCGGCAACUAACAAGAUCAAAGAUAGCAACCAAGGGCUUCUGCUCGGCAAGUUCGAGAUCGGAAAGUUGCUGGGUCACGGCACAUUCGCUAAGGUCUACCAUGCUCGUAAUGUGAAAACAGGUGAUGGGGUUGCCAUCAAAGUUAUCGACAAGGAGAAGAUCCUAAAGGGUGGUCUUAUCGCUCACAUCAAGCGUGAAAUAUCAAUUCUCCGUCGGGUUCGUCAUCCGAACAUCGUUCAGCUUUUCGAGGUCAUGGCCACCAAGGCCAAGAUCUAUUUCGUUAUGGAGUACGUUCGCGGCGGAGAAUUGUUCAACAAAGUUGCUAAAGGAAGGUUAAAGGAGGAGGUGGCUCGGAAAUAUUUUCAGCAAUUAAUCUCUGCUGUUGGAUUUUGUCACGCUCGAGGCGUUUAUCACCGGGACUUGAAGCCCGAGAAUCUUUUGCUCGAUGAGAAUGGUGAUCUUAAAGUGUCUGAUUUCGGGCUAAGUGCUGUUUCUGAUCAAAUUCGGCAAGACGGGUUGUUCCAUACGUUUUGUGGGACGCCGGCUUACGUUGCGCCGGAGGUACUGGCGAGGAAAGGGUACGAUGCGGCAAAGGUGGAUAUCUGGUCUUGUGGAGUGAUUUUGUUCGUCUUGAUGGCCGGGUACUUACCGUUUCAUGACCAGAAUAUAAUGGCUAUGUACAAGAAGAUUUACAAGGGCGAGUUUAGGUGUCCGAGGUGGUUCUCUCCGGAGCUAAUUAAGCUUCUUACUCGCCUGCUCGAUACGAACCCCGAGACCCGAAUCACCAUUCCUGAGAUCAUGGAAAACAGAUGGUUCAAGAAGGGGUUUAAGCAUAUCAAGUUCUAUAUUGAAGAUGAUAAGCUUUGUAGCGUUAAAGACGAUGAGGAGGAAGAUGUGGGUUCAUCUUCUGACCAGUCAUCGUUGUCGGAAUCUGAGGCUGAGUUUGAGACGAGAAGAAAGACUGCUUCUUUGCCAAGACCAGCGAGUCUGAACGCCUUCGACAUCAUAUCGUUCUCGCCGGGGUUUGAUCUAUCUGGGUUGUUUGACGAAGGAGGAGAAGGGGCGAGAUUUGUGUCAGGUGCCCCUGUUUCGAAGAUUAUAUCGAAAUUGGAGGAGAUAGCGAAGUUGGUGAGUUUUACAGUGAGGAAAAAGGAUUGUAGAGUGAGCUUGGAGGGGUCUAGGCAAGGAGUGAAAGGCCCGUUGACGAUUGCAGCAGAGAUAUUUGAGUUAACACCUUCUCUGGUUGUUGUUGAGGUGACGAAGAAAGGAGGAGACAAAGGAGAAUAUGAGGACUUUUGUAACAAGGAACUAAAACCUGGGUUGGAGAAUUUGAUGCUGGAGAAGUCGUUAUCUUUACCUCCUCGUGUUGGUGUUGAAGCCGCUUCGUCUGCUACUUUACCCUCGGAUACUGAAUAGAAAGUUAUGACAUCAAUCUGGAUGGUCCAACCAAUUCCCAGGAGUCGGGGCUGCUUUUAUGAAACAAAAAUGAUAUUAUGACCUAUAUUGUGGAUAAGUUAACUGCAAUAUGAUCAAUACGUUGGAAAAAUCUGAUGUUGGAUCCUUACGUUCCAACACGUGGUAGCUCAUGCAUACGUUAACCACAAAGAAAGUCCUACCUAAUCAGAAAGGGAGUGUUCAUCAAGGCGGCCUAGCUAAUCUUUCGAUUUUAUUUAACCGAAAUCAUACAUAUCGUUGAUGGUUUCUGCAGCCAAAGUUAGUGUUUUGAAGAUGGGUUUGAGUUAUUGAUUGUGUACUGAGUAGAUUUUGAAAUGUAUACCAAUAUGCUUCAUGUUGAACUAAAUUUUAGGUUUAUAAUUAAGGAUUUGUUUGGUGGUAUAUAAAAUAUUCUUCAGUUAAGGCAUAAUGAGUUACAGAGAACCAACAGCUCAUUUUUUGCU